Molecule: ribosomal RNA, 273 nt
Filed under: uncultured bacterium
Lineage: Bacteria
Description: partial 16S ribosomal RNA
Rfam family: Bacterial small subunit ribosomal RNA
Source: RNAcentral
AACGUAGGAGACGAACGUUAUCCGGAGUUACUGGGCGUAAAGGGCGUGUAGGCGGUUUGUUAAGUCUGGCGUGAAAGCUCUCGGCUAAACCGGGAGAGGUCGUUGGAUACUGGCAAACUAGAGGAUGGUAGAGGCGUGUGGAAUUCCGGGUGUAGUGGUGAAAUGCGUAGAGAUCCGGAGGAACACCAGUGGCGAAGGCGACACGCUGGGCCAUACCUGACGCUAAAGCGCGACAGCAUGGGGAGCAAACGGGAUUAGAAACCCCCGUAGUCC